UUGGAGGGCAAGUCUGGUGCCAGCAGCCGCGGUAAUUCCAGCUCCAAUAGCGUAUAUUAAAGUUGUUGCAGUUAAAAAGCUCGUAGUUGAAUUUCGGGGUUAGUAGGUUGGUCAUGCCUCUGGUAUGUACUGGUCUCACUGACUCCUCCUUCCUGAUGAGCCGUAAUGCCAUUAAUUUGGUGUUGCGGGGAAUUUGGACUGUUACUUUGAAAAAAUUAGAGUGUUUAAAGCAAGCUAACGCUUGAAUACAUUAGCAUGGAAUAAUGAAAUAGGACGUUCGAUCCUAUUUUGUUGGUUUCUAGGAUUGACGUAAUGAUUAAUAGGGAUAGUUGGGGGCAUUAGUAUUCAAUUGUCAGAGGUGAGAUUCUUGGAUUUAUUGAAGACUAACUACUGCGAAAGCAUUUGCCAAGGAUGUUUUCAUUAAUCAAGAACGAAAGUUAGGGGAUCGAAGACGAUCAGAUACCGUCGUAGUCUUAACCAUAAACUAUGCCGACUAGGGAUCGGAUGAUGUUAAUUUUUUAAUGACUCAUUCGGCGCCUUACGGGAAAC
Molecule: ribosomal RNA, 549 nt
Filed under: uncultured Rhizophagus
Lineage: Eukaryota; Fungi; Glomeromycota; Glomeromycetes; Glomerales; Glomeraceae
Description: SSU rRNA
Rfam family: Eukaryotic small subunit ribosomal RNA
Source: RNAcentral